This 945-nucleotide ribosomal RNA is filed under the name uncultured archaeon. Its description in RNAcentral is "bacterial SSU rRNA". It matches the Rfam family "Archaeal small subunit ribosomal RNA", at positions 1 to 940 of the family's 1478-position model. The record is from RNAcentral.
GGCCGCGGGAAUUCGAUUUCUGGUUGAUCCUGCCAGACCCGACUGCUAUCAGAGUGGGACUAAGCCAUGCGAGUCGACGUAGCAAUACGUGGCGAACGGCUCAGUAACACGUAGUCAACAUGCCCAGGGGACGUGGAUAAUCUCGGGAAACUGAGAAUAAACCACGAUAGGUCACGAUUUCUGGAAUGGAUCAUGGCUUAAAUCUACAUGGCCCCUGGAUUGGACUGCGGCCGAUCAGGCUGUUGGUGAGGUAAUGGCCCACCAAACCUAUAACCGGUACGGGCUCUGAGAGGAGGAGCCCGGAGAUGGGCACUGAGACAAGGGCCCAGGCCCUAUGGGGCGCAGCAGGCGCGAAACCUCUGCAAUAGGCGAAAGCCUGACAGGGUUACUCUGAGUGAUUUCCGCUAAGGGGAUCUUUUGGCACCUCUAAAAAUGGUGCAGAAUAAGGGGUGGGCAAGUCUGGUGUCAGCCGCCGCGGUAAUACCAGCCCCCCGAGUGGUCGGGACGAUUAUUGGGCCUAAAGCAUCCGUAGCCGGUUCUGCAAGUCUUCCGUUAAAUCCAGCCGCUCAACGGAUGGGCCGCGGAGGAUACUAUAGGACUAGGAGGCGGGAGAGGCAAGCGGUACACAGUGGGUAGGGGUAAAAUCCUUUGAUCCAUUGAAGACCACCACUGGCGAAGGCGGCUUGCCAGAACGCGCUCGACGGUGAGGGAUGAAAGCUGGGGGAGCAAACCGGAUUAGAUACCCGGGUAGUCCCAGCUGUAAACGAUGCAGACUCGGUGAUGGGCUAGCCUUGUGCCAGCCCAGUGCCGCAGGGAAGCCGUUAAGUCUGCCGCCUGGGGAGUACGGUCGCAAGACUGAAACUUAAAGGAAUUGGCGGGGGAGCACCACAAGGGGUGAAGCCUGCGGUUCAAUUGGAUUCAACGCCGGAAAUCACUAGUGAAUUC